Cavia porcellus (domestic guinea pig) is the source of this 123-nucleotide small nucleolar RNA. Lineage: Eukaryota; Metazoa; Chordata; Mammalia; Rodentia; Caviidae. The record is from Ensembl.
GGUGAGGUCUAGCAUGAUAGGAGCUGUAGCUGUACAAUGUUGGAAAUGCCUCAUAAAGUAAACCUCUGGUCUCUUUUUCCUCAUGAGACUAUUAGGUCUGUGGGAAGAAACUACAGGACAAUU